This 1502-nucleotide ribosomal RNA is filed under the name Clostridium botulinum F str. Langeland. RNAcentral's name for it is "bacterial SSU rRNA". It matches the Rfam family "Bacterial small subunit ribosomal RNA". RNAcentral also lists the same sequence under 3 other names. The record is from RNAcentral. Lineage: Bacteria; Bacillati; Bacillota; Clostridia; Eubacteriales; Clostridiaceae.
AGAGUUUGAUCCUGGCUCAGGACGAACGCUGGCGGCGUGCUUAACACAUGCAAGUCGAGCGAUGAAGCUUCCUUCGGGAAGUGGAUUAGCGGCGGACGGGUGAGUAACACGUGGGUAACCUGCCUCAAAGUGGGGGAUAGCCUUCCGAAAGGAAGAUUAAUACCGCAUAAUAUAAGAGAAUCGCAUGAUUUUCUUAUCAAAGAUUUAUUGCUUUGAGAUGGACCCGCGGCGCAUUAGCUAGUUGGUAAGGUAACGGCUUACCAAGGCAACGAUGCGUAGCCGACCUGAGAGGGUGAUCGGCCACAUUGGAACUGAGACACGGUCCAGACUCCUACGGGAGGCAGCAGUGGGGAAUAUUGCGCAAUGGGGGAAACCCUGACGCAGCAACGCCGCGUGGGUGAUGAAGGUCUUCGGAUUGUAAAGCCCUGUUUUCUAGGACGAUAAUGACGGUACUAGAGGAGGAAGCCACGGCUAACUACGUGCCAGCAGCCGCGGUAAUACGUAGGUGGCGAGCGUUGUCCGGAUUUACUGGGCGUAAAGGGUGCGUAGGCGGAUGUUUAAGUGGGAUGUGAAAUCCCCGGGCUUAACCUGGGGGCUGCAUUCCAAACUGGAUAUCUAGAGUGCAGGAGAGGAAAGCGGAAUUCCUAGUGUAGCGGUGAAAUGCGUAGAGAUUAGGAAGAACACCAGUGGCGAAGGCGGCUUUCUGGACUGUAACUGACGCUGAGGCACGAAAGCGUGGGUAGCAAACAGGAUUAGAUACCCUGGUAGUCCACGCCGUAAACGAUGGAUACUAGGUGUAGGGGGUAUCAACUCCCCCUGUGCCGCAGUUAACACAAUAAGUAUCCCGCCUGGGGAGUACGGUCGCAAGAUUAAAACUCAAAGGAAUUGACGGGGGCCCGCACAAGCAGCGGAGCAUGUGGUUUAAUUCGAAGCAACGCGAAGAACCUUACCUGGACUUGACAUCCCUUGCAUAGCCUAGAGAUAGGUGAAGCCCUUCGGGGCAAGGAGACAGGUGGUGCAUGGUUGUCGUCAGCUCGUGUCGUGAGAUGUUAGGUUAAGUCCUGCAACGAGCGCAACCCUUGUUAUUAGUUGCUACCAUUAAGUUGAGCACUCUAAUGAGACUGCCUGGGUAACCAGGAGGAAGGUGGGGAUGACGUCAAAUCAUCAUGCCCCUUAUGUCCAGGGCUACACACGUGCUACAAUGGUAGGUACAAUAAGACGCAAGACCGUGAGGUGGAGCAAAACUUAUAAAACCUAUCUCAGUUCGGAUUGUAGGCUGCAACUCGCCUACAUGAAGCUGGAGUUGCUAGUAAUCGCGAAUCAGAAUGUCGCGGUGAAUACGUUCCCGGGCCUUGUACACACCGCCCGUCACACCAUGAGAGCUGGUAACACCCGAAGUCCGUGAGGUAACCGUAAGGAGCCAGCGGCCGAAGGUGGGAUUAGUGAUUGGGGUGAAGUCGUAACAAGGUAGCCGUAGGAGAACCUGCGGCUGGAUCACCUCC